GGUUGUCCAUGGAGGCAAACUGAUGACCCAGCCAGAGAGAUGUGGGAAGAACAGGCAUAACAGCAGAGACCCAAGGGAAGUUAAAUCAGUUCAUACAUCCAUUUGGAGGGUGCUCAGAAAAUUACAGCAAGAACCUACACACCAGAGAAACCCUUCUGCAAAGCAGAUGAGAAUGUUGUUAGAAGAUUACACUGAAGAUGGAAAGUCUCCAGAGGUUCAGAGAGAUGGCAUCAUCUUCAAAUCAAACCUCAAGACUCUUUUGUCGCGUGUUGGGAUUCUGUGUUGCACGGACUUUUGGAACUUCAGCCUUUUAUUUCCAAGUGAAUACCAUCUCUUGAGAUAACUAAGUGAAACUGGGUGAUUCUCAGUGCUUAACUGGCUUUAGAACAGCAAUUUUAAUUUGAGAUGAAGAUAUUAAUUUCAGAAGUGUUUUAAAUGCUUGCAUUUACAAUAAUCUUCUUGAAUAAAGAAGCUACAAAACUUCA
Long non-coding RNA from Pezoporus flaviventris, 485 nucleotides. RefSeq lists it as uncharacterized. The transcript is spliced from 2 exons. Lineage: Eukaryota; Metazoa; Chordata; Aves; Psittaciformes; Psittacidae. The record is from RefSeq and is a predicted model, not a curated record.